UUAAGUUAAUAAGGGCGCACGGUGGAUGCCUUGGCACUAGAAGCCGAUGAAGGACGUGACUAACGACGAAAUGCUUUGGGGAGCUGUAAGUGAGCAAUGAUCCAGAGAUGUCCGAAUGGGGGAACCCGGCAGGUAAUGCCUGUCACUCAUUACUGUUAAGGUAAUGUAGAGGAAGACGCAGUGAACUGAAACAUCUAAGUAGCUGCAGGAAGAGAAAGCAAAAGCGAUUGCCUUAGUAGCGGCGAGCGAAACGGCAAGAGGGCAAACCGAAGAGUUUACUCUUCGGGGUUGUAGGACUGCAACGUGGACUUAAAGAUUAUAGAAGAACUACCUGGGAAGGUAGGCCAAAGAGAGUAAUAGCCUCGUAUUCGAAAUAGUCUUUAUACCUAGCAGUAUCCUGAGUACGGCGAGACACGAGAAAUCUCGUCGGAAUCUGGGAGGACCAUCUCCCAACCCUAAAUACUCUCUAGUGACCGAUAGUGAACCAGUACCGUGAGGGAAAGGUGAAAAGCACCCCGGGAGGGGAGUGAAAUAGAACCUGAAACCGUGUGCCUACAACAAGUUCGAGCCCGUUAAUGGGUGAGAGCGUGCCUUUUGUAGAAUGAACCGGCGAGUUACGAUAUGAUGCGAGGUUAAGUUGAAGAGACGGAGCCGUAGGGAAACCGAGUCUUAAUAGGGCGCAUUAGUAUCAUGUCGUAGACCCGAAACCAUGUGACCUACCCAUGAGCAGGUUGAAGGUGAGGUAAAACUCACUGGAGGACCGAACCAGGGCACGUUGAAAAGUGCUUGGAUGACUUGUGGGUAGCGGAGAAAUUCCAAACGAACUUGGAGAUAGCUGGUUCUCUCCGAAAUAGCUUUAGGGCUAGCGUCGAUGUUAAGUCUCUUGGAGGUAGAGCACUGUUUGGGUGAGGGGUCCAUCCCGGAUUACCAAUCUCAGAUAAACUCCGAAUGCCAACGAGAUAUAAUCGGCAGUCAGACUGCGAGUGCUAAGAUCCGUAGUCGAAAGGGAAACAGCCCAGACCACCAGCUAAGGUCCCAAAAUAUAUGUUAAGUGGAAAAGGAUGUGGGGUUGCACAGACAACUAGGAUGUUGGCUUAGAAGCAGCCACCAUUUAAAGAGUGCGUAAUAGCUCACUAGUCGAGUGACCCUGCGCCGAAAAUGUACCGGGGCUAAACAUAUUACCGAAGCUGUGGACUACACCAUUAGGUGUAGUGGUAGGAGAGCGUUCUAAGGGCGUUGAAGGUCGAUCGUGAGGACGGCUGGAGCGCUUAGAAGUGAGAAUGCCGGUAUGAGUAGCGAAAGACAGGUGAGAAUCCUGUCCACCGUAAGACUAAGGUUUCCAGGGGAAGGCUCGUCCGCCCUGGGUUAGUCGGGACCUAAGGAGAGACCGAAAGGUGUAUCCGAUGGACAACAGGUUGAUAUUCCUGUACUAGAGUAUAUAGUGAUGGAGGGACGCAGUAGGCUAACUAAACCAGACGAUUGGAAGUGUCUGGCCAAGCAGUGAGGUGUGAUAUGAGUCAAAUGCUUAUAUCUAUAACAUUGAGCUGUGAUGGGGAGCGAAGUUUAGUAGCGAAGUUAGUGAUGUCACACUGCCGAGAAAAGCUUCUAGCGUUAAUUAUACUCUACCCGUACCGCAAACCGACACAGGUAGUCGAGGCGAGUAGCCUCAGGUGAGCGAGAGAACUCUCGUUAAGGAACUCGGCAAAAUGGCCCCGUAACUUCGGGAGAAGGGGCGCUGACUUAUGGUCAGCCGCAGUGAAUAGGCCCAAGCAACUGUUUAUCAAAAACACAGCUCUCUGCUAAAUCGUAAGAUGAUGUAUAGGGGGUGACGCCUGCCCGGUGCUGGAAGGUUAAGAGGAGUGCUUAGCAAUAGCGAAGGUAUGAAUUGAAGCCCCAGUAAACGGCGGCCGUAACUAUAACGGUCCUAAGGUAGCGAAAUUCCUUGUCGGGUAAGUUCCGACCCGCACGAAAGGCGUAACGAUUUGGGCACUGUCUCAACGAGAGACUCGGUGAAAUUUUAGUACCUGUGAAGAUGCAGGUUACCCGCGACAGGACGGAAAGACCCCAUGGAGCUUUACUGCAGUUUGAUAUUGAGUAUCUGUACCACAUGUACAGGAUAGGUAGGAGCCUAAGACCUCGGGACGCCAGUUUCGAGUGAGGCGUUGUUGGGAUACUACCCUUGUGUUAUGGCUACUCUAACCCAGAUAGGUUAUCCCUAUCGGAGACAGUGUCUGACGGGCAGUUUGACUGGGGCGGUCGCCUCCUAAAAGGUAACGGAGGCGCCCAAAGGU
RNAcentral lists this ribosomal RNA (2291 nucleotides) under human gut metagenome. RNAcentral describes it as "bacterial LSU rRNA". It matches the Rfam family "Bacterial large subunit ribosomal RNA", at positions 3 to 2317 of the family's 2925-position model. The record is from RNAcentral.